GCUACUCUGUCCACUGAGGGAGAUGCAAGAUCUUCAGCCAAUGUUGUCUCAGCUCCAGCCACUGAGUCAGGCACCCCAGGCCCUCAGUCCAGCUUCGGUCCACACCCCUAUUUUUGCAUGUGCCUCUGCUCUGCAGGACCUGACCCCAGAUUCUGAGCAAACGUCACUGUUGGUGGAAGAGCACGAUGAAGUAGAAGUGGCUGCCGCAGAGGAAGAGGAGGGCGUUGACCCCACAGUGCUUGAUAUGGCUCCACCAUCUCCUGAUGACGACACAAUAAGGCACACCUUUGGCUCUUGGCACAGCUCCCAGGCACAUACUUUACUCCUGUACCCUCCACUGCUGCCCAUGACACAAGCUCCAACACUGGCAUGACCUCCAUGACCUCAACCACACUGCUGACCCUGGCACGACCUCCAUCACUGCUGACCCUGGCACGACCUCUACUAACUCCAACCCUGGCACCAUCUCCACAACCGCUGGUACCUCCUCCUCGCGGGUUGCAGGGAUACAGCCUACUGGACCUACUGAAUUGCACAAAACUAUGGCUGUUGAAGACCAGUGUCCCUGAAUACCAGCUCAUUGACAGACUUCCAGAAUAUUUGCUUGGGCUCCUGGAUCAGACAUCUCUUC
Engraulis encrasicolus (European anchovy) is the source of this 631-nucleotide long non-coding RNA. RefSeq lists it as uncharacterized. The transcript has 4 exons. The record is from RefSeq and is a predicted model, not a curated record. Lineage: Eukaryota; Metazoa; Chordata; Actinopteri; Clupeiformes; Engraulidae.